UAGGCGGGGCACGGCCCAGCCCAGGGCUGCGACCCGAGAGGGAGGCAGCCGGUUGCGCAUGCGCGGGGUGGUGUCGGGCGCUGGGCUGGGUCGGGAGGAGCCUGGUUUGCGGUCCGGGGCAGGGAGCAGGUUUUAAAUAUGAAAUUGGAAGAAAUGGAAACUGAGACACAAAGAAAGGGGUUAUGAGCCCUUCUCAACUCUACCAGGAAAUCUGUAGGAGAAAUCAAAAUAGAUCUCCGGAGCUGCUGAAUUUCAGUGCAGAGUUGUCCCUCCCAGACCAUCCUUCCUCUGGAUACAGAUAGAUGAAGUGCAAGCAAGCUCAGCCCAGCCCUGCCAAAGGCCAUUGCAGGGUGGUCUCUCUGCUCGUGGCUGGUUUGGCAGCUGUUGGCUCCAGCAUCGCUGACCUCCUGAAGCCUCUCACUGCCCAUUUCCUUAGAGGCUGUCGCUGGAGACCAGGCCACAAUCAAGAAGGUCAGUAAUGGUAAGACUCUGGGACCGGGCAUCAUUGCCUAGGAAGGCUGCAAGCAAACAGAGAGCGCAUGGUCAGGGAGGACAUGGAAAGCCAACAGGUUGUGCUGAGAGAGCGACAGACGGAGAGCGAGAGUCUUUCAAAUGCUACAGCCCCAAAUACUUGCCCUGUGUCAGCUACUGUCUUCUGAAGUAACACCACUAUUGCUUCCUGUGAUGUACCCACCUGAGCAGCAUCUGGCGCAUGCUCUGAGUUUAGGAAGCCAAGCUCUGAAAGUCCUAGCAUCUGCUGGAGCAGGCUGUCACAUCCUCACAUGUACAAGCACCCUAAGCUCGUGCCUUUCUGAAUAAGCUAGUCUCUAAGGUGUCACUCUGCCCUUUCUUUGGUUUACAGGGGGUUGGUUUAAGUGUUAAAAAAUGUUUGUUUCUUUCUCUUCAUGCCAGGCUCUUUGCUCUGUUCCCCAAGGAAAUCAGCUAGAAAAACCUUCCCAAACUGGAUCACGUCUAUGGAAGGGCUUUACUAUGUUGUGCAGCCAAAGCAACAAGCAGCAUGAUUCAUUAGAUCUUUCCCCUUCACAGCAAACCUAGGAUUUGUCUUUUGACAUUUAAUUUUAAAUUAAGCCUCAAUGUUAGCUUUUAGUUUUCCCUUCUUCAACUUAUUUUUUGGGAUGGGGUGGGGGAGUUUCUACUACUUUCAGGCUGAGGGGUCAAGUUUAGAGUGUUUUGCCCUAGCUGUUUGUAUCAAGAACUGCUGAUCUUCCAGAGACUGGAAGGACUAGUCAGCUGAAAGGAGGAAUCCCAUACCCAU
Long non-coding RNA from Alligator sinensis (Chinese alligator), 1276 nucleotides. RefSeq lists it as uncharacterized. The record is from RefSeq and is a predicted model, not a curated record. NCBI's taxonomy places the organism in Eukaryota, Metazoa, Chordata, Crocodylia, Alligatoridae. The transcript is spliced from 3 exons.